GCGAACGGUGAGUAACACGUGGGUGAUCUGCCCUGCACUUCGGGUAAGCCUGGGAAACUGGGUCUAAUACCGGAUAGGACCUUCUGCCGCAUGGUGGGGGGUGGAAAGGUUUUCCGGUGCAGGAUGGGCCCGCGGCCUAUCAGCUUGUUGGUGGGGUAACGGCCCACCAAGGCGACGACGGGUAGCCGGCCUGAGAGGGCGACCGGCCACACUGGGACUGAGACACGGCCCAGACUCCUACGGGAGGCAGCAGUGGGGAAUAUUGCACAAUGGGCGCAAGCCUGAUGCAGCGACGCCGCGUGAGGGAUGACGGCCUUCGGGUUGUAAACCUCUUUCAGUACCGACGAAGCGCAAGUGACGGUAGGUACAGAAGAAGCACCGGCCAACUACGUGCCAGCAGCCGCGGUUA
This 409-nucleotide ribosomal RNA is filed under the name Rhodococcus ruber. RNAcentral describes it as "bacterial SSU rRNA". It matches the Rfam family "Bacterial small subunit ribosomal RNA", at positions 98 to 523 of the family's 1533-position model. The record is from RNAcentral. Lineage: Bacteria; Bacillati; Actinomycetota; Actinomycetes; Mycobacteriales; Nocardiaceae.